AAGAGAACCCAAGGAUCGAAUGAUGAAGGUGGAGCAAGCAAGAUAGAAAUAAGUGCAGCGUAGUUAUCGUCACAAAGGAUUAAAGAUAGUCCUAAUCCUCGGAAUUGGCAUAGAAGAAAGUAAAUGGCUUGUGAAUGCAUUGUAGCCUAUCUGUAAUUCCCAGUGUACGGGCGAGCAGGUGAUUAAGAAUCAGUACACUCACA
Molecule: non-coding RNA, 203 nt
Submitted as: unclassified sequences
Source: Rfam